AAUGGGGGCAACCCUGAUCCAGCGACACCGCGUGAAGGAUGAAGGUCUUCGGAUUGUAAACUUCUUUUAUCUGGGACUAAGAUACCUGUGGAAACACGGGGAGUGAAUGUACCAGAGGAAUAAGCCACGGCUAACUUCGUGCCAGCAGCCGCGGUAAUACGAAGGUGGCAAGCGUUACUCGGAAUUACUAGGCGUAAAGGGCAGGUAGGUGGUUUGGUAAGUCUGUUGUGAAAGCUCCCGGCUUAACUGGGAGAGGUCAAUAGAUACUGCCGGACUUGAGUGUAGGAGAGGGUACUGGAAUUCCCGGUGUAGCGGUGAAAUGCGCAGAGAUCGGGAGGAACACCAAUGGCGAAAGCAGGUACCUGGACUAUUACUGACGCUAAGCUGCGAAAGCUAGGGGAGCAAACAGGAUUAGAUACCCUGGUAGUCCUAGCCGUAAACGAUGCACAUUAGACGUGAGGGGUAUCGACCCCCUUCGUGUCGACGCUAACGCAUUAAAUGUGCCGCCUGGGGAGUACG
This 519-nucleotide ribosomal RNA is filed under the name uncultured bacterium. RNAcentral describes it as "bacterial SSU rRNA". It matches the Rfam family "Bacterial small subunit ribosomal RNA", at positions 370 to 884 of the family's 1533-position model. The record is from RNAcentral.